GGGGGGGGGGGGGGGAAAAUGGCCGCCCGGGCCUGAUUAUCAUAAUCUGCCUGGCAACCAGCCGCGGCCUCGCGCGCUGAUUGGCUGAAACUCCUCCGCCAGCCACGAUGGGGCACAGAAUUCCACAAGGAAAGGCUUGGAGCGCCCAGCCUUCCCAGUUGACAAAGAAUUGGCAAAUGGGUCUGUCAUCCAGCUGUGUUUUCAGCAGCUUCUCUACCACAGCUGUGGGACUCAGCUUAUUUAAGUUGUAAUGGUUUGAUUGCCUUGAUUCAUGAACGACUCAUUCUGCCAUCUUCAGAGGUUAAACAUCGCUUCAGUCUUCCCAGGUGGACUAGAAGAGAUAAAGGAGACAGGAUGCCAUUGCAGGAAGAUAUGUCUCACCAAGCAAGAGGAUGAGAGUUGACUAAAUAUUUUCUGCAAAGCAGCCUCUCCUUCCUCUCUCCCCACUGCGUCUUCACUGUGCCUUUACUUGUAGACCUCUAGACCCUCAAUCUUUUGAGUUCUCUGUGUCACGAUCAAUGUUUGUGUUCAGUUCCUUGGAGAAGCAUCAGGAAUUGCCCUGCCUUGAGAUCCUGCCAGUGCUCAAAGCCUUGGAUCCAUCUGGAGAGAGAAAAUGAGCAGCAUAAAUUCCCAGUUUGUGUAUUAGCUAAAAAGGUGGUUAGUCUCUGCUAUUUCUGUAUUUGGGAUCCUCAGUCUGAAUGUGGGCUCAUUACUCUAUUGAAUUAUAUAUCAGAAGUAAUUUCUUUUCCUGGGAAGUGAAUACUGCAUAUGUGCAAAUCCAUUCCAAAAUGGAUUCCUUGUGUCUCUCAGAUGUUGCUUUUGCCUUGGAUAGUCUUCAGAAGAACAAAUUGUCCGAUGAAGUUCACCAUUGGUUUUGCCCCUCAUCUAGAAUUAAGAGGAGAUCAUAGAUUUAGCACAUUUUCUGGAUGCUGAGAUUCAUAUGCAGAGUGUUGAAAGAGCAGCAGCUUUCCUUAGCAGCCACUCUCUUGUGCUGCCCUUAAGCAUCCUGGAUUGAUGCAUUUUUCAUUUUCCAAUGCAAUUGAACCUUUCUGUGCUGGUGCAUCAACAAAGCUGUAAUAUCUCCAAACCUAACAGAUGGGUUAUUCUUAAGUUUUCAGUUAGAGGAGUAUUAAUGCCAGGCUUGUUUCCUUAACAGUCUGUUAUAUGCUGUAGGCAAGAAUUGUGCUGUUUGAGGUGAAUACUGCACAAAAUGCUGUGCAGAUCUGCCCACUUCAGACAUCUCAGUGGAAACCAGAUGAAUGACACUGUUUCAGGCAUGGACCAGAGCAGUGGGAAAAUGGCCAGCAAGAGUAAGUGUUUAUUGGUAUAAUGAAGGGUAGAUUUUCUCUGUUCCCUGCCAAUCCCUUUUAAAGAAGUCUCUGAGCAGAAACAAAGGCUUGCUGUCCACCACCAUUUACUUUGUCACUUCUUUUCACAGAUUUCUGUGCUGUUUUUCUCAUGUCUGCAGUUAUUCCAUCUAUCCCUGGUUUUAUGGUAGUGAACUGAGCAGUGAUGGCCUUGCUCUUGAAGAAGAAUAUCCUGUGUUGCAGCCUCGCUGCAGAACUUCAGUUCUAACACCCUGGUAUAUGUACAGUGCAGGACUAGUAGCAGGUGACAAUGCAGCUAAGGUUGUACCUCAUACUUACCAGAGAGACUUCUCCAAGAGUCACCAGAUUUAAAGGUUUUCAGAAAAACAAGGAUCACACUGUUGGAGUCAGUGCUGUGAACAUAAAUUCUCACCAAGCACCAUGUAAAUAUUAAAAGUAAAUUAAUUUUUGUAGCACUUAAAAUACUAUAUAAAUUCAACCUUGAAUGAAAGUCCUAUCCCAAAGAUUUAUAAAGAAUGUUAUGAACAAAAAAAGGGUUACCCAUUUUUUUUCCAAAAGUAAAGUUGUAGAAUUACAAGUUUCAUCAGUUCUGGCAGAAGAGUGCUUUUGUUAGCUGCUUGUUGUAAUCACAUGUUAGUAUCAGGUCGUUAGCCAUCUAUGGUUGAAAAUUCACUCUAUUGUAUCAGCAUCACCCUGCUUGUGGCCAGGUGGGAGGAUGGCAUCCCCCCCCAAAUGGUAGAGAGGAGGGGACCAGGAGUUGAUAUGCAGAUGAGUUUAGAGCCAAAAUGCAAUGGGGCAAGCCCCCAUUCCAAACGCAAUUAAUAAACCCCUAAACCAGCGAGCCAGUAUGGAAUUCAGAGAUCAAAUUGGUCUCUAGACAUCAGGGGUGAGGUGAGAAGCCAACAGAGACUCUGAAAACCUUAAUGGCCCCUCACCACAACUUUGGAAGAUGUUGGUUAGAGCCAGGACUCGAGGCUGCCAACCCAAUAUUGGGCUCCUGGAGUGUAUACCCCUACCUGCUCUUGUGAGGCUGGACCCCCAGCUCUGUCCCCUGGUGGACAAAGCUGCAUUUGCCUCCUCUUCCAGGGCCCUCCUGGGAGCUGCGAUGGUGAACAGGGCCUCCCAACCUUGAGCUGAUCACUGUUAACAAAGGCAUCAAAAAAGGGAGAAAAAUCUCCUGCCCUAUUUACUUCAAAGAACUUGUACAUUUUGGACUGGGGAAAAAACAAAAAACAAACCCUCCUUUUUAAGUAAAGAAAAAAGCCUAACUCAGAAUGUCUUGUUAUUUACUUCUGUAUUCAUAUUGCACAUCAGAAUACUUACAUAAAAUGUGCCAGUUUUCAAAAGCAACUUGUUACUCUGUUUUUCAGCUGAACUUGGCCAGGCUAAAAAGAGAAUUAUAUAUGCCAGAGGAUGUAAGGGUUUACAAAUAGUGUAACAAAGAGAGUAUAGUAAGUGACCAGUGGACCAGUCAGCAAUUUUAAUUAAAACUGGGCUGCUUAUUGAUCUGUUGUGCAGAUUCACCCCAUCUACAACAUUUCAGCAAUGUUCCUAAUUCAGAAAACAGCGCUUUUAAGAGCCAUAAAGAAUAUCAAAGUUAAGAAUGGAAAUGUUUUGUAACUGGGACAUUCUAUGCUAAGAUCUUUUUCCAUCUCAUUUAAGCACCUCACAUAUCUUCACAAAAAAAUGAAAGCAAAUAUAUGAAUUCUAUAGGAUAGUCUGUCCUGGUCUAGUGGAAGGUGUCCCUGCAUAUGGGGCCUGGAACGAGAUGAGCUUUUCCAACCCAAACCAUUCUGUGAUUCCAUGAUAUUGCUUUUCUACCUUAAUGCCAAUGGGUUCACCGCAUGUCAGUGUGAAAAAAGUCCCAACAAGUCUAAAAUAUAUUGGUAUUUUUAAAGAUCUUAUGUUCUUGAAACCAGUGGGAUCUUUGGCAGUUGCAUCUUCAAGGUGGGCAUUUGUCAUCC
Long non-coding RNA from Serinus canaria (Common canary), 3292 nucleotides. RefSeq lists it as uncharacterized. The transcript is spliced from 4 exons. The record is from RefSeq and is a predicted model, not a curated record. Lineage: Eukaryota; Metazoa; Chordata; Aves; Passeriformes; Fringillidae.